UUAUUUAGCUAGGGGUGCCUAAUGCUGAGAGAAGCAAUAAUUGCUUUAACCCUUGAACCUGAUGUGGAUAAUGCCAUCGAAGGAAAGCUUUAAAAGAUUUCA
RNAcentral lists this non-coding RNA (102 nucleotides) under Clostridium sulfidigenes. RNAcentral describes it as "TPP sequence". It matches the Rfam family "TPP riboswitch aptamer (THI element)". From Rfam's summary of the family: Vitamin B(1) in its active form thiamin pyrophosphate (TPP) is an essential coenzyme that is synthesised by coupling of pyrimidine and thiazole moieties in bacteria. The previously detected thiamin-regulatory element, thi box was extended, resulting in a new, highly conserved RNA secondary structure, the THI element, which is widely distributed in eubacteria and also occurs in some archaea. Analysis of operon structures identified a large number of new candidate thiamin-regulated genes, mostly transporters, in various prokaryotic organisms. The record is from Rfam by way of RNAcentral. Lineage: Bacteria; Bacillati; Bacillota; Clostridia; Eubacteriales; Clostridiaceae.